This 433-nucleotide ribosomal RNA is filed under the name Triticum aestivum (bread wheat). RNAcentral describes it as "partial small subunit ribosomal RNA". Lineage: Eukaryota; Viridiplantae; Streptophyta; Magnoliopsida; Poales; Poaceae. The record is from RNAcentral.
GCAGGAGGUUGAGGUAGUAGCAGCCAGGUUGAAGAGAGAAGUAGCAGCAGGGGGUUGAGAAAAGAGAAGUAGUUGGUGAUAGAGUAGUAGCAGCAGCAACAAGAGGAGGAGCAGGACGGCAACAGGCGUUGAGAGAGAAGGAGGAAGAGAUUCAGCAGCAGGAGGUUGCGGGCAUCAGCAGCAGCAAGGAGGAGAGAGGCGCGCGGGGGGCCAGACACCCGUCUGGUCGGGCGCGCGAGGUGCGGCGGUGGGAUGGCGGCGCUGUGGUGCAGAUGGAGUGGUGGAUGUUGCUGAUGGUAUGGCGCGGCGGCGAAGAUGUGGAUGGGCGGCGCUGGUGGAAGCUGUGUGGUGGCUGAGAGGCGCACCACCACGCUGGCCUGUCCGUGGCGGCGGCCGAUGGUGGAGAAGAAGGGGAGAGGGAGAGAGAUCAGUG